This is an RNA transcript of Erpetoichthys calabaricus (reedfish), 6628 nucleotides long. It is a transcript of the gene named myosin phosphatase Rho-interacting protein-like, with no coding region annotated. The record is from RefSeq and is a predicted model, not a curated record. Lineage: Eukaryota; Metazoa; Chordata; Cladistia; Polypteriformes; Polypteridae. The transcript is spliced from 10 exons.
UUUUUUUUGUGUUAUGUGCUAAUUUCUGGUCCAGUCAGAGAUGUGACGCUCUGCUUUUGAAAUCAAAGAGUGUUACUAACCUGUCUGUCUGUCUGUCUGUCUAAUCAAUCUUUUAAAGACUGACGCCACGCAGAUGGGUGCUUGGCACAGACUCCAUAAAUUAAACCAAGACCUUCAAACUGAGCUCGACUCCCAGCGCCAGCGCCAAGACCUUACAAACCAGCAGGUACAGACCUUGAAGCAAAACUACGGACAAGUCAAGGAGAUCAUCCGACAGCGGGAGCUGGAGAUUCAGAAGCUGCAGGAUAAGCUCAGCAACGCCAUGGCAGAAAUCGACGCAAGUGAGCAAACCGUCGGAAAGAUGCGGCGAGAGCUUCAGGCUGAGCAGGACAAGUUUAAGGAGCGGGCCGGGGAGUGGGAGCACGAUGGAGAGACCCUGCAGUCCCAGCUGAAGGAGAGUGAGGCCAGGCUGAGGGAGGUGGAGGCCCUUUUGUUAGAGAAGAGCCAAGCUCUCCGGGACCUGGAGAGACAGCAGGCCUUGCAGAGAGACCACCAGAAAGACGCCCUGAAGCUGCAGGGUCGACUGACUGAGGCCACCAAGCAGCUGGCAGCCAUGGAACAGGCGCGUGUGCUAAACGAGGAACGGCGACAGAAAUCCUACGACUUUGUGAAGGAGAGCCACGAGAAGGAGAAGGAGGCUCUGAGUCGGAGCCUUCGGGAGGCUGAGGAGAAGGUUCGGGACUUUGAGGAGAGGCUGCAAAAGGCAGAAUGCCAGAGAGAAGAUGCGCAGAAGGAAAAGCGAAGUGCUACUCUGGAAUACAGCGAGAUUGUCCACCAUCUGGAGGAGGAAUUGCUGACCAAAAACACCAGCAUUCAAAAGCUCACGCAGAACAUGCGAGACCUGCAGAUGGAGAAAGAUCAGCUGGAGUGCAAGUGCCAGGAGCUGAUCCAUCAGUUAUCGGAGGCAGACGGCGAGGCGCUCAAACUGCAAUCCCGACUGAAGACGGAGGAGACCGACUACUACAACCUGGAGCACUCCUAUGAGAAAGUGUCCGAGGAGAUCCAGAAGGUGCAUCAAGUCCUCAGAGAGAAGGAGGUGGAGAUCAAAGAAGUCCAAAUGAGGUACGACAGACUGGUGGAGAAGAAGGACCGAGACCUCAAUGAGGCCCUCGUUAAAAUGGCGGCGCUGGGGAGUAGCUUGGAGGAAACGGAGAGUAAGCUGCGGGCAAAGGAAGAACUGAUAAGCCAGUUAGACGGCCGAGAGGGCAAACUGGCAGCGGCGGAGUUGCGUGUCGAGGAGCCGCAGGUGAGCUAUUAUGAGCUGCAAGUACAAGGUGCUUGUAGUGAGCACGACAGUGGCGUGAAGUCCUCACAGAUCUCCUCGCCGCCAAAGGAAGGCGUCGGAGCAAAAGCAGAAAGUGACCCCGACGCCUCCGUUUGUAAAAGACAGAGGAUACGGUUUGCCAGCAUCUACUGCCAGAAAUACGAGGGAGACAAGCCGUUGGCCAGUAACGCAUCUUCUGAUGCCAGUCAGGGUGGGUCCACGUUAGACAGGAGCCCAUUCACUUCAACCGAAGGCGAUCCUGGAAGGUUCAUCUCCGUCAUCCAUUCCCUGGAGGAAAAACUGUAUGUGACCGAAGAGAAGCUGAAAGAAAUAACUCUGAAAGUGGAAGAGGAGCAGAGCCGACGGCUGGACUCGGUGAUGGAGCAGCAGAGCCGCUGGGCCCAAACGGAGCACGAGCUGCGCCAGCAUCUUGACGCAAGUCUGUCCGAGAUAGCCGGGCUGAAGGCCGAGCUGCAGGGAGAAGUGGACACACACGUGUCCGUCCUGCAAGAGGCCCGAUGCCGAAUGGGAGUCGCCACGGGGAUCUGUGAAAAGGCUCUCGCCAGUAUAGAGUCGAGUCGGGAGAAGAUCCAGCAGGUGCUCGGGUGCCAGCAGGGCGUUGAGGUUGGCACGCUGCACUGUAUGUUGCAAGAGGCCAGUGACGAACUGGUGAACGCCACGAAGUGCCUGAAGCAGCAGGGCGCAUUGUUAGAGGAGUGUAUGUUGAACGGCCGAGAGGCCACCGCCAGCGUCGCUUCCACCGAGGACAAGAUGAACGUCUUGACCAGAAUGUUGGCUUUUGAAGCACUUUUACUGAAUAAAAUGGCCGCCUCCGUGGAAAGUGAAACCUCACAAGAAGUCGGUAAGUUGGAGAAUAGCAAGCAGACCGCCGCAGCCUAUGCAGAUGUCUUAACGCAGAAGUUGGUUUGGGAAAGUGAGUUGUGGGCCGAGGGAGACGGGGAGUCCCGGAGUGGGACGUUAGAAGAGCAAAUGGCAGACCGUGCCGUCUGGGCGGCCCGCGUCACGAGUGAAUCGUCUCUGAGACUGCAGCAUCUGAAGCUCUUGUACCAGAGACAGAUGGAGGAGCCCAAAGGCCAGGUUAAGAGCCGCCAGCACCAGGGUGUCCGAGGAGCAGUCGGCGAGGCCGCUCUCUUGGCCGACAUCACUCCGCCUGAACUCGCACCCUACGCCGAGCAAAUUCAAAUGCAGGAGGCCCAUAGCUUAGCAGUGCAAGUGGUGGAGAAGCACCUCGGGCAGGAUGGCAGCCGUGGCAGAGGAGAGGCGAGAGGUGGCGAGAAGUUUGCCGCUGCCCUUAGACGCCAGGCCCAGCUCCUGCAGCCUUUGUCUCGGGACAUCGAGUCGCCGUUCACCCCUCAGACGUUUGCUUGGGCCGCUCACGGGAUCCCCGACGCGCUCUGCAGAAGUUCGUCUGUCGUGGUGCGAGAGGCCGUCGUUCAGGCCCAGAUCGCCUACGUGGCGUGCAAGCUGAGAGUCCAGCAUGACGAGGAGCUGAGGCAGUGCAAGGACGCUUAUGGCAGCAUGGAGGUUCUGUGCCAAGAGCACGUCAAGAACAUCACCUCCAUCCAGGAGCGCUACGACAAGGCCCUGCUGGAGGAGAGGUGUGCUUAUGAAGCGGCUGUCGCCCGUCUGAAAGAAGAAAAUGAGGCUUUAAGAGCGGAAGCCUCCCGGCACUUGUCGGAGAUCUCCAGACAACAGCAAAAGCUCUUCGACGUGGAGGAAGGCUUCACCCGUGACAUGGAGGAGCUGAAGCACAAGUGCAGGUCUGAGCUCCAGGAGGCUCGACAGAAGCAGGCGGCCGGAGAGGCGGAGAGCCAACGCAGGCUGGAGGAGAUGCAAGGUGACGUGGAGCGGGCCGAGGAGCGGCACAGGCAGCACAUCCGCACGUUGGAAGAGGACCUUCACCGGCGCAUAUUGGAGCUGCAGGAGAUCCACGAAGAAGAAAUGCAGCGACUCCACGGCCAUUACACUCGAGCCAGCCUGGAGGGGCACGGGGCUGAGCAGCUCGCCAGUCCCCCACCUGAAGUCGAGGCGCGCCGGUUAGUGGAGGAGAGGGACCUGGAUGCCAUGGCCGUCCUGAAGGAACGGAUUCUAGAGCUGGAGACCCAGCGGGAUGUCAUGAGGGGCGAGCUGGUGGAGCACAAGCACCUGGAAGGGGACCUCCUUGGCCUGAGGGACAGACACCAGACAGACUUGGAGAAGCUCAAGGCGACCUGCGAGAGAGGCUUUGCCGCCAUGGAGGAGACCCACCAGAAGGUCAUUGAGGACAUCCAUAGGCAGCACCAGAGGGAGCUGGACAAGCUGCUGGAGGAGAAGGAGCGACUGCUGGCGGAGGAGACGGCCGCCACUAUUGCUGCCAUUGAAGCAAUGAAGAAUGCCCACCGUGUGGAACUGGAGAAGACCCAACGCGCUCAGAUCACUGGCAUGAGUGCAGACAUAGAGGAGCUGAGGAGGCAGUACCAGGAGGAGCUGCAGUCGCUGUACCGGGAGCUGGAGGUCUUGUCACAGCAGUAUUCUCAGAAGUGUUUGGAGAACGCCCACUUGGCACAGGCCCUGGAGGCCGAGAGGCAGGCCCUCCAACAGUGCCAGCGUGAGAACCAGGAGCUCAAUGCCCAUAAUCAGGAGCUGAACACCCGGCUGGCAGCUGAGAUCACCCGCCUGCGCUCCUGCAUCACUGGCGAGGGUGGCGACGUUCCUCUGACGCAGGGGAAGGACUCGUAUGAGCUGGAGGUUUUAUUGCGGGUCAAGGAAUCUGAAAUCCAAUACCUGAAGCAGGAGAUCCACUCGCUGAAAGACGAGCUGCAGACCGCCCUGAAGGAUAAGAAGUACGCGACGGACAAAUACAAGGACAUCUACACGGAGCUGAGCAUCGCCAAGGCCAAGGCCGACUGUGACAUCAGCAAGCUGAAGGAGCAGCUCAUCGUAGCCACUGAGGCUCUGGGGGACACCGCCGGGGGCAGUGGUGCCAUGUCUGGAUAUGACAUCAUGAAGUCAAAGAGCAACCCUGAUUUCCUCAAGAAGGAGCGGGCGAGCGCCAGCCGCCAGACGAGAAGCUCGCGGUCCAAGUCCGAUACUGAGCAGGUCUCAUGGGACAGCUGACUGGCACCUGAUGGGUUCUCGCUGAUGUAGGUAACGCGCCACCCACCGCAUGUCACCUCCUGCAUGCUCACCUCCAUCUUGCUGUGCCUCCUGCCGCCUCACGCUGACCUUUUUCUUUGUUUCUUGUGCUGCUUUCGCUGUCUGGAGAGGCCCAGGCACACCUGACAAGCUUAAAGGAGGGCCUGACGGUGCAGGAGCGCCUGAAGCUGUUUGAAGCCAUGGACUCCAAGAAGGUCUGAGGUCACCGAGUGCCACACAGGACUGGCGCGUCUGCCCGCCUCUGCCCUCGCUCCUCAAGCGUGCAGUAGGCUGGCGUUCUGGAGGCUGGCACCCGUCAGCCUGCCUUUUGUUCUGCUGCUGCCCAGCAUGGCCCUUAAAGUGACGGCUGACACGCGGCGGGCGUUUUGGUUUCCGUCUGGAUUCUCAUGCGUGACUUGGAGUCUCUGAGGAGACCCUCAUGCGGGGGGCGAUGGGGUCGGGUGGCACCUCUACGAGCGGCCCUUGGUUGCUUUUUUUUUUUUUUAUGUACUGCUGGAAGUAAAAUUUUGUUUUAUCGCUGAAAUUUGAUUUUAAAAGAACGUGUUGCAGUGCGGUGCCAGGGGCCGUCUGAAGGAACGUCAGGGUCGCUAAAUGGGGGCUUUUUAAUUGGGGUGACGUUUGUGCUGUCUGGUGCCCCCUUUGUACCCACCCGUGGGUGUAGUGUGACUGGUCACGUGAUGGUGGGCGAGCACUGCGGAGGUCCGCGUGGGUUAUUAUUUUUGUACGUUGACCUUUUUCUUUUUAUUUUGGUGACAUCACAGAGAGACCCCCUUGCUGAUCGGUGGGUUCAGGUGCUGCUCAGAGUGGCGAGUUGGGGGGCAAUGGUGGGCAGCGGCCACCCUAUUUUGUUACACUGACCCCCCUAAUCCACACAAACAAGACCCUCGGAGCAGGUGGUGACACCUUGGAGGCCAUGUGCCCCUCUUCCUUGGUGCUGCCCUCCAGCUGUCCAACCCUGCCACGUGUUGUUCCUUCAUGCCAUCCAGGGCCGCUGGCAGUGCGAGGGUCUCAGUCCACACUGGCCUUUGUCUCCUUUUAGGGUCCUCAAUUGGUGACGUCACUCUGACUGCUUUGUCUGUGUGUUGUCUUUGUUGGUGUCUGUGGCAGUCAUGCCAGUGGCCGCUUUGAUCCAUCGGCACUUAGAUGGCAGCACUGGCAUCGCACAGGAGGGGGUGAGGCAGUCGUUUUGUCUCGUUGGUCUCUGCGUGUGGCUCAGGAGGGCAUCGGGGACAUGGCCAAGUCUGGAGGACUGGUGGUCAGUGCUAGCCAUGCCAUGGCGACGGGCUCUGUCACGGUGGGUCGAUGAGCAGUGGGUUGGCCGAUUGGCCAGCUGGUGGUGGAAUUCCAAUGGCUGGCAAUGACAGAAGAGUGGAUGGGGGGGGCUCCCUAACGCCUGCUGUACGUGACGCGGGGCCCACUGCAGCCCACAUUUUGUUUUCCUCGUCUCACCCUGGAGUGACAUGGCUGCUGUGGGGUGGCACCCCCAAUGUCCUAAAGUGGUGCCACCAGUCAUUCCCACCCUUUCUGCUCCCAUCGUAUUUUCUACAAUUUAAAUAAAACGCCAGCCAAGUGGCGUCCACUGUGGGCAGACGUCUGGGUCACCGCUGUCCUCUGCGUGGUGGCGACAGGUGCAGAAAAUGGCUGGCAGCCCCAUUGAUAUUGAGAGAGACCCUCGCCAUCGUCUGUAAAGGUUGGGUGGGUGACGCUACGCUGUGCCAACCACACCAGUUUUAAUUUGAAUGCCAGAUGAGCAGCAGACUUCAGAGUGUCAAAUGAGACGAGGCCGAGCCUGGCACUGCUGAUGGCUCUUGAUAGGUGGACCUGCCCACCUCAGCUUUGACCUUCCCCUUUUACGCGAUGCUUUUGCUUCAGCCGUCAUGCCAGGUGGUGCGGUGGUCCGUCUUUGGAGCCUCCUGCUGCCCAUGGGUAUGGCAGAGCACUUGUGUGUUGUGCCGCCUGACGCCACUUCAUUUAGCGUUCUUUGUGAUUUUCAAGUCCUGGCGCUGCAGUAUUUAUUAUGAUGAUAUCCCCGAUUGUAUCGUUUCUGUUAGAUGCUUGUGAUGCCCACAUGGCAUCAUUUUUAUGAUGUAAAUACAAAAGUCCAACUUCUUAUAACCUCAACAGUAAUAAAAGUAUUUUUGCACCUCU